Synchiropus splendidus (mandarinfish) is the source of this 6294-nucleotide long non-coding RNA. RefSeq lists it as uncharacterized. Lineage: Eukaryota; Metazoa; Chordata; Actinopteri; Syngnathiformes; Callionymidae. The transcript is spliced from 3 exons. The record is from RefSeq and is a predicted model, not a curated record.
AUUGCCUUUGUAAUACUCUCUUCAACAACUGGGAUGUGAGGAUCCCUCAGCUCACCUAGACAUUUCUCAAUGAGCCUUGUAUCCACCAAGCUGUGACAGAGAUGAGGGGAGGAAAAAGAAGACUUCUUCACUCUAAGAUGUGGGACUUCACUGAAGAGGAGAUGAAGAGGGAGCAGCCCAAGGGCUUUGCAGCUUUAGGGCCCUUCAGCGCCUGGAGUAUCAGGUAGAAAUGUGGGUCAUAGGUUUACAAAGAGGAGGUGAAACAGUUUGUUAUCCGACUGUUUUAAAGGCGCUGAAGUCACAGGAGAGUUCUUUCUGAGAGGAAAUUACCCCUCGCUCUUCGUCUGCUUAUAUUCAGGACCAUGGAUAUCAAAUUAAAACAAAUGAACAUGUCAAGUGGUGACUCUUCCAAGGGGGUCGGAUUGCUGAGGGGAAAUGUGGGGAAGAAAAAAAAAAAAGGUCUGGACACUUCAGCGUUGAUGACAAGCUGGUCACACCAUGUAAGAUACAUUUUUAUGGACUGUUGCACAAGUGAGCAGAUGGACUGAGCAAGGCUCAUUAAUCUCAUUUGCAUUUUCACAUUGUGAUCUAAUCAAUAGGAUUUUUUUUUGGUAUUUACAUUUUACUGCUUUCGCCUAGCAGUACGAAUGUGUCUUUAAAUAAACAUGCACUUUGUUGGUAAUACCAUAGGGCUACAUAACAUUUGUAUUAUUAUUACUUGGGCACAUACGCACCUCUAAUAGGCCACUGAGAAACAUGGAGCACAGAGAAUUGGAAUCCUGAUCAGGGCAAUGCAAGCUCCAGCCAGGCUGGGCUGUCAGGCUGACCAUUCCUUGCAGUAUCCUCUCAAGGCUGGGAAGGCCAUAGAAACGCGGCGCAUCAGACACCCGAAGGCUCUGAAGCAAACGCAUUGCCAGCUGGCUCUUAAAGGGACCAGCCAGCGCCAGAGAAAUCCUGGAGAGAGAGAUGAAAGAUAGAGCAGACAAUGAACCGUAUAGGUUGUUAUAAUAGAUGUGAUUUAAUGGUGUGGAAAAAAAAAGGUGCGAUGGGAGGAUUCUUCAGCCAAACGUACCUGUCAGUGGUGUGUGUGAGCCGGAGCAGUAUUUGGUUAAAUAAGCAAGUCAGCUCUCUCUGUAGUUUCUGGCCAACAUGGUGUUUCAGUUCUUCCUGGCUUCGGGCAGACUGGUCCUUCUCCACACCAAGAAAGAGAUCAAGAAGGGAAACAUGUUCCUGUGAAAAUACAACACACACAAGUGAGCUUAUUUUGAUAUUGAAGAUUCACAAUUGAUUCACAAUCACACGGUGACACAUUAGCAUUAAGGAAGACUGGUUACCAAAUAUCCUGAAGUUACCUGUUAAAACCUAGAAGCAACAGCUGGUAUUAGCUUGUGACUUCACACGGCAUUUGUCCAAAACACACACAGACUGAAAGUUGGUUCUGUGGGCAUGCAGAGGAGGAAUAAAAGCCAAUGAAGAGUGUCGAACAUAUCAUUGGUUCUGAUCACAUUAAACUAUUUCUCACCAAAGGGACACGCUUUAAAAUCAAUUCCAGCACUGACUGGGAACCAGUUCAGAAAUUUUACGAUGACAUAGAAAGCCAUUCCAUGAUGCACCAUUUGGGAUAUAUAAUAUUUAAUAGCACAUUUUAGGGAGAAGACUGUUGCAGGGGUCUGUUUUAAUAGGAAUAGAAAGCCUUUCUCAUUGGCUACAGUAGUACAAAACUAAAGAUGAAUAGCUUGACAUUUGCCUCCUACCAGCUAAUGCUGUUAAAACAAAAUUCUAUAGUUUUUGCUGGAAAUGUCCUGUUCAACAACUCCGUCCUUAUGUGGACUUGUAACGUAGCAUGAACCGCCUGCUUUGAAAAAAUGCUUACUGAGAAGAAUACAGGAUGUACGUCGCCAAAGCGUACAGAGCGACAGAUGUUACUGCAACGGCUUGGUAAUUACAGAAAAGUUAGAGCAGAGCGGCACAGCUCACCCCUGCCACGCUUUCAAUCCGAGUCUGCUUUGUGUGCCAAGGGAGGGCUCAGUGUUUACACACACAUUAAUGAGAAAUCCAAGGUGAGACUGAUUAAAUCUGGAAAGUAUCAUCCCCAUUAAAACAGCGUGAUGACUCUCCUUCUCCAGCAAAGCUAUGACUGCACAUCUGCAAUUCACCGCUCAUGUAAGAAUGAGUCAAUGAGCAGCUUUUGUUUUCUGGCCAAGGUCAUGGCACUCUUUAACUGCUCCCUCUCAUUAUACUUCUGUUUGAAUUGCAAUUAAUAUCAACAAGCUCCAGAAUUAUGCAUAAGAUUCUUGACUUUUUUUUUCAAAGUUAUAUCUUCGAAAUCAUGUUUCUAGAUUUUUAAACGGCAGCCUUUCUUGUAACAUUUAAAAAAAUCAAUAUUGUGCUACUGCCACAACCUACAUUUAAAAUGUAUAAUUUGGUUACCCAUAUAUGGUUUUCAUUAGACACAUGUCAAACUCGCAGACAACCAAAACUGGCUCACCAAGUCACUUCAUGUAGCCUGUGAGAGACUGACACGUUUGGCAUACACUGAGACCAGUAUAUAUAAAUAUUGUGACACAUGGCAAACACAUGGUUUAAGCUGUUUUUCAACAGAAAUAAAUAUAGACACCAAUAAGUUCCUGCAAUCAUCCAAAAAUGGGUGGAGAAAAGCUGAUUUUGAUGAUGGAUGUCUAUUGUCUAUUGAGUUUUCAGUCACUCGGUAAUGAAGGUCAACAAGUUCCGUACACCAAUUGAGACAGGUCAGUUAAAGUUAGCAUCAAAUCAUAAGGCAAGCAGAUAUUGUUUACACUCUCUGUGAUGUGUUAAAAAUUGUGGUCGCUUGUGUGACUUUGUUUCACACAUCAAGGUUUUAAAAUGUGUCUGAUUCCUGAAAUAAAACAUUGUCGCCCCUGCCUUGCCAUUAUGACCUGGAUAAGCUGUUCAAAGAAUAUGAGGUUAAAAAAGGUUGUUCAUUGUUGAGGAUUCAAACUUACUUUGAGAGGUCAUGUCAUAAGGUGAAUCAAAGGUCAGACAACCAAGACUGAAUAGGAGAAAAAGCUGGAAGAUCUGGCGCAUUUACGUGACUACAUUAUUUUUUUUAGGCCAAGGCUUCUCUGCACUGACAUCUGUAGUUAUGACCUUGUAAUAGUAGUAUUAGGUUAGUAUUUUAAUCUGGAAUAAGGAAAUUAGGACUAUGAUAUGGACAAAAAAAAUCUUGUUCUAACAUUCAACGCCAGACCUUGUUGAGAAGGUGCUCCAAGAUCCAGCGCAGAUUAUCAUCUUCUGCGUCAGAUGUACAUUUUGUGUGCGUCAGUUUGAAAUGCGAAUUCAAAAACCCAACAAUAGCCACCAGCAAUCUCUGAUCUUCCACAGAAGCUGGAUGCACCUGCAGGAACCUGCAAGGAGAAGCAGUAAAUGACAAUCCUGGCACCGAACGUGUUCAAUUGUGAAUGACAUUCCAUAUUUUCUGCUUGCUUUUACUCGAAUCAUAAGUGACUCUCUUGAUGACGGACAGUCAACAAAAGAGAACAGUGACAAGCAUCGAGGAGCAGAUGUACUGCACGAUGGAACUUUUUACCAGCAGCUCCUGCAGGGCUCCCUAUCGAGAGAUUUGUGAGUCAUCAUCAAAACAAAGGAUUUUUUUUUUUUUUUUGCAAAAAUGAAACUCCGUCUGUGGAAUACUGGAAGUAAGGUAACUUUUUAAAGAGUUAAUAACAUUUGACAGCCCAUCCAUCCCCAUCUGUUAAACAUUACCCGUGCCAGAACUGUAAACAGGAAAAGGUUGAAAAGUAGAUGCCUGGGAAACCUCAGUGAAAGUCAGAUUUUAUAAUAUCAUCUGCUCUUGUAAGAAGUUUACUGUGAAUACAAAAGCAUCCGUGAGAGGUUCGUCAGGAAACAGGCCUUCACACAGUCUUAGUGCAUCUAAGCAGCCAUUCUCAUAUGAGGAAAUACAUGUAUAACAUAGAAAGAAAGGUCAUGCAUAAUAGUCUUUGUGAAAGGAAUAUCACCAAUUUACUUUUCAAAAAUUAAUACCAAUUUUGUCUUGAUUUAUUCACGUACAUGUUGUUAUUUUUGUUUGAGUCCAUCCAUCCUUAAGCUAUAUUUCAAUAGCCCACAUGCCCAUUAGUUGCAAGGUUCCAACAGUCAGACAGCUUGUUUUGAAUUGCACUUGUUUGUUUACCUCGCAACUGCAGCUCGCCAAGUGAGAGAGUGGAGCGUUCCUCUGUAGCUAAAAGUGGGAACGUGAGGAAGAGCCAGCCUGUCAAUCAGCAAGUAGAGGUUGAGCCUGGACAGGGCAGAGGUCACUGAACUGUGUCCCUCAGCAGUAACUAUGGUCUGGACGCAGUCCUGCAGCGCAGCUGGAGGGUGAAUAGCACGGAGUGACAGAACUUGAGCUUCUGACAGCUGCAGGUCUGCAUGAAAUCUGAGGGGUAAACACAGUUAGGGAAAAUGGCUGUGCAAAAUGAUCACAUUUUAAAUGUGCUCUUAAACAUUAGUGAUCACAAUUUCUUCCAAUAAAUGAAGAAACGACGAUCUCUAACGCACAUUGCACCAUUAGCUUGAAGAUUAUCGUUAUUUAAAAGCUUCUUUAAACAAUAUCUCGUUGAUAAUUGGACCGACACUCAGACAGAAACAUUGCUGGGAGAACAAAAGACAUGAAUACAAAGUGGGGAGAAAUCAUCCCUCAUAUAUCAUUAAGUUUGUGUCUUCCGAGUAAGAAAAUGUCAGACAGAUUCAUCCAGUGCUCAGCGCCUUGCUAAUUAAGUCAGAAUGAUUUGACAAACACCCUCAUCCAUUUCGUUUAGGUUCAUUAGAAGAGAAUAAAUAUAAAUAAAGUGUCUGGUGUUUAUAAUGCAGAUGGAUAUACGAUCCCAAAGAAACAGAUAAUUCUUUCAAAAACAUAAAGAAUGAACCUUUAAAGUUCUCAUUAACAUGAAUCAAUCUCUGCAAGAGAUGGUUAUGUACAUAUAAGGUAUCAGUACUUUUUACAGGGACCUUGGCUUAAGAAUAACAUAACUUUUAACAUUUCAUAUAACAAUGAUCAAAUUUAAGUUGAAUCAGUACACACAAGCUUAAAGAUGAAGUGGAACUAUUUGCUGUGUUAAGUGCAGAAAACAACAUUUAACCUCUGUUCUUUAUCAAUUAUUAUUUAUUUAACACAAUUUAUUUUAACACAAUUUUACAGUCCUUACUCCUCGGCAUCAUGGCUGCUCGGCAGCUUGUCCAAAAGGUUGUCCAUCCCAGAAUGCCAUGCCACGUUCCAAGCGACCUGGAGAGCAUGGCGAGCUGGGGCCAAGGUCAGCAGGUCAGAAGAAGGCGCCAGGAUGCAGCAGUAAGGACUAACAGCAUGGUGGCUUGCUGCCUGGAAUGGUAUGUUGUACCUGAUGGAUUGACAAAUUACAGAUAAUAAAGCUAACAAAUAUCACAAUAGUUUAUCUCUGACUUAAUAUAACUUUAAUAUAAUUUCCAUUGCAUUUUACCUGCGGCUUACUGAGAGUGGUAGUGAGAACGUUGAUGUUGGAUUACCGCUGCACUUAUCUGACCUUGGGGGAAACGCAAGGUUGAGAAACUACUGACCAGACCACAUACUGCAAGAGUGCGAUGGAUUAUCUUUGAAAGAACCUACCACAUGUUGAUGUCUGCAAUUUCAUCAAACAGCAGUAAACACAUCAGGACAGCAAUAUCACUCCCACUGCUUUUGAUUUCCUUUAAAAUGAAGGAUGCUGCAAUAAAAACAAUUACCCUAUUGAACAGAUUCUCCAUCAGAUUAACAUCAUUCUCAUUUACAGAUAAAAUAAGUUCAUCAUGACUGACAGAAGUAUAAAUGUUUUCUAUCAUCGCUUGGAUACAUUAAGUUGAUCCUGCCUUUGUUUGACUGCAGCACAGAAUAUGAAGCAGCGUUUUAGGGGAAAAAAAUACUCCACGUGAAAUAUAAAAUAUGCUAAUAAUGGUGUGACACCAGCAUGAAAUUUAACAAUGUCACAGUGUGGUUCAGAACUAUGAAUCAGAGGGUGACUUAUCUGCUCCGAGUUUGCCCCUGAGCAACAAAACCAAACAUGGAUGGUUGUUAUUUAAUGAGUUGUCUUGUGACUGUACCUCUGAGCAGUUGGAGAAGCAAGGGGUUGCGCAGUGCCAGGCUGUGCCUCAGAGCGGGAUCCGCGUACACCAGCUUCCUUAGAAUACAUAUACAGGGCUCCAGCAUGCAGUCCAUGCUCUGGAGGAUACAAGCACACUUGCUAUUUAAUUGAAGGGGAACAAUAGUAGCAAACACAGACUCUCAGUCGCAGUCUCACUCUCUGCCUGCCU